This 253-nucleotide ribosomal RNA is filed under the name uncultured bacterium. Its description in RNAcentral is "partial 16S ribosomal RNA". It matches the Rfam family "Bacterial small subunit ribosomal RNA", at positions 524 to 776 of the family's 1533-position model. The record is from RNAcentral.
UACGUAGGGAGCAAGCGUUAUCCGGAUUUAUUGGGUGUAAAGGGUGCGUAGACGGAGAGGCAAGUUAGUUGUGAAAUCCCUCGGCUUAACUGAGGAACUGCAACUAAAACUACUUCCCUUGAGUGCUGGAGAGGAAAGUGGAAUUCCUAGUGUAGCGGUGAAAUGCGUAGAUAUUAGGAGGAACACCAGUGGCGAAGGCGACUUUCUGGACAGUAACUGACGUUGAGGCACGAAAGUGUGGGGAGCAAACAGG